UAUAAAUUUCGUCAAAAUGUUCUCGCACAUUCAAUCGACGGUGUUCAUGAUUAAAAAUUCAAAUCAAUGUACCUCCUUAUUUAAAUAAUAAAAUCCCUCCCUCCCGCGGGUAAUUUAAAUAAACAAAAGAUUAAUGAGAAUUUAAUCUGGACAAAGCCGACGCUACUGAUAAUAAAUUCUUCGUUAUCUAGAGGGGAUCGAGUGAGUCAUUGAACGAGUAGAAAAAAAAAAGUGAGGAAAAAAAAUGGAGAGGAAGGAGGAAAAAAAAAAGAAUUUUUAAUUGCACAUCUUGUCCUCGGCGGGCCUCAAAGACGCGCCCAUUCACUUGGACUGACCAACUGGCCCAAUUUCGCAGCACCCGGCCGCUCCUUUCAGAUUGGUACGAUGCACUCGGCUCUGUGCAUACUGUUGCAGCUGUGGUGGUUAAAAACCCCUGGGUUCCCUCUCUCGUGGCUCCGAAAUGGAGAAUAAAGGAGGUGGUGAGACGAGGGACGAGGAGGGACCAUUUUUUUUUUCUCCUUCAAGUACAACACAUUACCUCUGACUAUAAAAAGCCCUUUAUUGCUGUGCGGGUUCGUAAAACGCCGACUGAACGGUGUCUGCGGUAUCGAAAUAACUUCAAAACUCGAUCAUGCACAAAAAAAAAACUGAUGGUCCCUUUAUUUCUCGUUGAUAAUUUUCGUGGUUGACUGCAAUCAGGUGAGUGGAAAAUUUCCGACGGAGAAAAUGACUUGAUUUACCCAAAAAAAAAAUUAAUAAAAACUCCUCCUUUGAAAUCGCAAUAAAUCUGAUAAUUGGACAUUGAUAAAUCCCCCAGAAUACCACGAGAUAUUGUUAUUAAAAUAAUACCCCUUUUGCUACUUCAACCUAUCCACCACAACGUCCAACAAGUGCAAAUCAUCACAGGAUAACACCAAUACCAUUAAUUCCCAUAUUCUCACUGGCAGCUCAUUCCACGAGAUUAACUCAAUUCCAGAUGUCAUUGAGCCGUCACUCGCAUCACUGACCAGACAAUUCCCUAUAACUAGGCUGGAAAAGGUAAACUUCAUGCACCGGUGAAUCAUUAACCCAACUCUGAACAAUAGUCGUCAAUGUUGUCCAGCAAUACAGUACUGUCAUCAGCAAUGAAACACGCAGGAGACAACAAUCCGCCUGAGAUAGCCGGGGGGGCCAUUCGGGUGGUAAUUCAUGUACAUUGCAAGUCACUGGUUAAAACGAUCGCUCAUACCUCCUCUUCUUCCCCACCAUAUCAACCCCCCUCCUCUGAGCCCCCUCACCACCCCCAUCAUUUAUUCCGACUAACGAGAUUUUCAACUACAGGCGUCUUGAUAACACACGUAGUCACAAAAUACAGAUAUGGGCUUUUAGCAAAGGAGGAGUGAAUGCGUUACAUCUAUCUGUGCACUUUGCUGAGUUCAAUGACUACCUUGUGCUGGGUAUGACUGUCCCUCCUAUCGGCGUGCACGAGGGGCGGAGGGGGAGGAGAGGAAAAAAAAAAGUGAUGGAAGAAAUAAAAAUUGAAGAAUAGGAGAAAAAGAAAGAGUCGCCUCGUGUAAACUAGGGAGGGUAGAGUUGGCCUAAUUCCAUCGGCGCCGAGAGUUCUCUCCCCCUGGCUGUGUGACGUCAGUGAUAUAACAGCUGGAACAAACAACGGGCACGAUUGUUUGUUCCCUUAGUCGUCGUGUCUUGAGCGGUGAACGUGUCGAUGGCCCCGGCAUGUUUUCUGGAUGUUUUUGCUUCCGGUCUUUUCGGAAUUUUACCCGUUAAUUUUUAGGGCCUCUCAAUGUUUAGUCAGACAUUGGUGAUUUGUGGAAAAUUUUUUUGGAAAUUUUCCUGGCGCUGUAACCGGAGCCUCAUCUGAUGGAGAAGAGGUUUAGCUCCACUGGCAUCGGCAACACGGAAGUAACCGACCCCGGUUUGAAUUUUUCGGCCCAGAAAAAGUCCUUCGCGUGGGUGUAGAGUCCUGAAUACCUCGAUAUUCCCCGGGUGACGGAGAAUUUGCACGGGUUUGUGGGCCGACUUGAUGCUGGUCUCUUGCCGACCAGAGUAAUCACGAGUCGAACACUUUUGCACAAUGGAGAGCAGAUAGCGGCGAAAGGGGGAUUGGAGACCAGGAUAAAAUAAACAACACUGGUGACGGAGAUAGAACUGGGGUAGAACAGGACAGAGAAUUGCCGGCUGAGUGGGUGGUAUUUACCGCACGAGAUGCCUUUUUCGUCCUCGUUCGGGAGACGAAAGAAAUUUUCCAUCGUGGGCGGCCUAGGUCAAAAACUACUCAUAUCAAGAUAGAUCGUACCGAGUGAUUCCCCCGUUUCCCAGUGAAGCCUUGAGGAGGAGGAUUAACGUGUUGACAUUAACGGUCGACAUGGGCAUUCGACUGGGUGAGCCGGAUGAGCCCUUGAAGAAUCCUCUUGUCUUCCGUGGGAAGCCUCAGCCACCCGCCAACCACCCCUGGGCCACCACUGCAUCGUAAAUCCCGGUGCCAUCCGGCCCCACAAACAACCGAAGAGGGAACAAAUGGAUGGGAAAAACGAGAGAAAAAAUAAUACCGAUGGGUUAGAGUCAAGCCCUCGCAAUCUCCUUUCCAGCUGUUUUGUUAUUUCUACAUUUAUCGAUAAUUAUGUACUGCUGAAUAUUUCUGCCUUAAAUUUACCAUUUACAGCCCCAACGUCAUUAUUUCUUACCCCUCCUCAACUACUGACAAAACAUAAUUCUGGAGAUGCCAUUUGAAAGACGUCAAUCUCAAAGAAUUUUCCUCUCUAAUCUGAUUACUUUUUCGCAAAAUAAUCCGGAAUGAUACGGUUUGCGUUUCGUUACUCACAUCAACUACUGCAAUUUUCCCCGUAGUUUUCCCUCAGCGUGGGAAGUCGAGGAUUCAUACUCCUCGAAUUGUCUGGACCGAGACAAUUUCAUGAGUACGAAGGCUCAUCACAGCGCUCUA
Diachasmimorpha longicaudata is the source of this 2941-nucleotide long non-coding RNA. RefSeq lists it as uncharacterized. The record is from RefSeq and is a predicted model, not a curated record. NCBI's taxonomy places the organism in Eukaryota, Metazoa, Arthropoda, Insecta, Hymenoptera, Braconidae. The transcript is spliced from 4 exons.